GUGCUGCCUUUGAGCCCCCUUUGCCCCUACGCGUGGCGCCAGGAGUCAGGCUGCAGCAGGGGCUCGCACAUAGCUGGGCCACCCGCAGCUCACGGGCUGGCUGCCUUUUUAAUUGUGAGUGACACUG
Molecule: small nucleolar RNA, 127 nt
Organism: Lepus europaeus (European hare)
Lineage: Eukaryota; Metazoa; Chordata; Mammalia; Lagomorpha; Leporidae
Source: RefSeq, a predicted model, not a curated record